GAUGAAGAACGUAGCGAAAUGCGAUAAGUAAUGUGAAUUGCAGAAUUCAGUGAAUCAUCGAAUCUUUGAACGCACCUUGCGCCUUUUGGUAUUCCGAAAGGCACACCUGUUUGAGCGUCAUGAAUACCUCUAUCUCCAUCUUUUCUUCGGAUUGAUGGGUGACUUGGAUGUUGAGCCCUGCUGGUAUGCUAUAUCAGCUGGCUUUAAACUUAUUAGCCGGCUCUGUACUGGAUCGGUUUGACUCGACGUGAUAAUAUUAUCGUUGAGGAUGCAUGUCUCAUGCAGCCGGAAAGUAUCAAAGCAGCUUCUAGCUUGCCUUUAGUGCACUUUUACAUUUUAGACCUCAGAUCAGGUGGGACUACCCGCUGAACUUAAGCAUAUCAAUAAGCGGAGGA
RNAcentral lists this unclassified non-coding RNA (395 nucleotides) under soil metagenome. Its description in RNAcentral is "partial contains 5.8S ribosomal RNA, internal transcribed spacer 2, and large subunit ribosomal RNA". The stretch from base 1 to 120 matches the Rfam family "5.8S ribosomal RNA", at positions 35 to 154 of the family's 154-position model. The record is from RNAcentral.